GUGCCAGCAGCCGCGGAAUACGAAGGGUGCGAGCGUUAUUCGGAAUAACUGGGCGUAAAGAGCGUGUCGGCGGCUUCUUAAGUCAUCUGUUAAAGAACUCGGCUCAACCGGGUGUAUGCGGGUGAAACUGGGAGGCUAGAGUACGAGAGAGAAGGGUAGAAUUCUCGGAGUAGCGGUAAAAUGCGUAGAUCUCGAGAGGAAUACCGGUUGCGAAGGCGGCCCUUUGGCUCGUAACUGACGCUUAAGCGCGAAAGCGUGGGGAGCAAACAGGAUUAGAUACCCCGGUAGUCC
Molecule: ribosomal RNA, 291 nt
Filed under: uncultured bacterium
Lineage: Bacteria
Description: partial 16S ribosomal RNA
Rfam family: Bacterial small subunit ribosomal RNA
Source: RNAcentral